UACGGAGGAUGCGAGCGUUAUCCGGAUUUAUUGGGUUUAAAGGGUGCGUAGGCGGACUGUCAAGUCAGCGGUAAAAUUGAGAGGCUCAACCUCUUCCCGCCGUUGAAACUGGUGGUCUUGAGUGGAUGAGAAGUACGCGGAAUUCCUGGUGUAGCGGUGAAAUGCGUAGAUAUCAGGAGGAACACCGGUGGCGAAGGCGGCCUGCUGGACUGCAACUGACGUUGAGGCCCGAAAGCGUGGGGAGCAAACAGG
RNAcentral lists this ribosomal RNA (252 nucleotides) under uncultured bacterium. Its description in RNAcentral is "partial 16S ribosomal RNA". It matches the Rfam family "Bacterial small subunit ribosomal RNA", at positions 524 to 776 of the family's 1533-position model. The record is from RNAcentral.